UACGGAGGGUGCAAGCGUUAUCCGGAUUUACUGGGUUUAAAGGGUGCGUAGGCGGGCCGGUAAGUCCGUGGUGAAAUCUCUGAGCUUAACUCAGAAACUGCCAUGGAUACUAUUUGUCUUGAAUGUUGUGGAGGUAAGCGGAAUAUGUCAUGUAGCGGUGAAAUGCUUAGAUAUGACAUAGAACACCAAUUGCGAAGGCAGCUUACUACACAAAUAUUGACGCUGAGGCACGAAAGCGUGGGGAUCAAACAGG
Molecule: ribosomal RNA, 253 nt
Filed under: uncultured bacterium
Lineage: Bacteria
Description: partial 16S ribosomal RNA
Rfam family: Bacterial small subunit ribosomal RNA
Source: RNAcentral